AAGCUCGUAGUUGAAUUUCGGGGUUAGUAGGUUGGUCAUGCCUCUGGUAUGUACUGGUCUCACUGAUUCCUCCUUCCUGAUGAACCGUAAUGCCAUUAAUUUGGUGUUGCGGGGAAUUUGGACUGUUACUUUGAGAAAAUUAGAGUGUUUAAAGCAAGCUAACGCCUGAAUACAUUAGCAUGGAAUAAUGAAAUAGGACGUUCGAUCUUAUUUUGUUGGUUUCUAGGAUUGACGUAAUGAUUAAUAGGGAUAGUUGGGGGCAUUAGUAUUCAAUUGUCAGAGGUGAAAUUCUUGGAUUUAUUGAAGACUAACUACUGCGAAAGCAUUUGCCAAGGAUGUUUUCAUUAAUCAAGAACGAAAGUUAGGGGAUCGAAGACGAUCAGAUACCGUCGUAGUCUUAACCAUAAACUAUGCCGACUAGGGAUCGGAUAAUGUUAAUUUUUUAAUGACUCAUUCGGCGCCUUACGGGAAACCAAAGUGUUUGGGUUCCGGGGGGAGUAUGGUCGCAAGGCUGAAACUUAAAGGAAUUGACGGAAGGGCACCACCAGGGGUGGAGCCUGCGGCUUAAUUUGACUCAACACGGGGAAACUCACCAGGUCCAGACAUAGUAAGGAUUGACAGAUUGAGAGCUCUUUCUUGAUUCUAUGGGUG
Molecule: ribosomal RNA, 651 nt
Filed under: uncultured Rhizophagus
Lineage: Eukaryota; Fungi; Glomeromycota; Glomeromycetes; Glomerales; Glomeraceae
Description: SSU rRNA
Rfam family: Eukaryotic small subunit ribosomal RNA
Source: RNAcentral